GUGAACGCUGGCGGUAGGCCUAACACAUGCAAGUCGAACGGCAGCACAGUAAGAGCUUGCUCUUACGGGUGGCGAGUGGCGGACGGGUGAGGAAUACAUCGGAAUCUACUUUUUCGUGGGGGAUAACGUAGGGAAACUUACGCUAAUACCGCAUACGACCUACGGGUGAAAGCAGGGGAUCUUCGGACCUUGCGCGAUUGAAUGAGCCGAUGUCGGAUUAGCUAGUUGGCGGGGUAAAGGCCCACCAAGGCGACGAUCCGUAGCCGGUCUGAGAGGAUGAUCAGCCACACUGGAACUGAGACACGGUCCAGACUCCUACGGGAGGCAGCAGUGGGGAAUAUUGGACAAAGGGCGCAAGCCUGAUCCAGCCAUACCGCGUGGGUGAAGAAGGCCUUCGGGUUGUAAAGCCCUUUUGUUGGGAAAGAAAAGCAGCAGGUUAAUACCCCGCUGUUCUGACGGUACCCAAAGAAUAAGCACCGGCUAACUUCGUG
Molecule: ribosomal RNA, 491 nt
Filed under: uncultured bacterium
Lineage: Bacteria
Description: partial 16S ribosomal RNA
Rfam family: Bacterial small subunit ribosomal RNA
Source: RNAcentral